This 559-nucleotide long non-coding RNA is filed under the name Gallus gallus (chicken). Lineage: Eukaryota; Metazoa; Chordata; Aves; Galliformes; Phasianidae. The record is from RNAcentral.
UGCCAGGUCUCUUUUGAUUUGCAAAGCAAACAGAUACCUUGUAUAUUCCUCUUGCAGCUGGCCUGGGUCUGGAGGGAAGAACUUUACAGCCAGACGAAGCAUUGUAGUCUUUGGUCUCCGUACUUGUUUAAUAACAGGUUUCAUAGGUUCCAGCCAAAUCCAAUACGACUGGAUGUUCUGGAACUCAAUUCCGAAGUAGUCCGAUUCAAUUAAAUUCAGGUGCUUGUAAACUUCUGCCAAUAAUGCCUGCCCAUAAUAUUUUGACUCAAUGUCAAGUACUUCCACCGUGUUGUCCAACAUCUUUAUCUUGAUCUGUAGGUCCCUCUCAUGUGUUUUGGCAGGCGAUAAUGCCAUUGCAGUAGAGAGAUUCUGUCCCGGCUCCAAAGUGCUCACCCCAGAGUUCUUCUGGACACCCAAACGAGAGCCAGGAGUCUGCAGGACCCGGUAUGUUCCUUCUAUCUCUCCCAUUUCUCAACACCAGGCAAAGUCCAAACGAAACCUCCCGGGGCCGCCCGCCGUCCCGCCGCACCGCAGCCUCCGCCGCGUCCCCGGCCCCGCC